CAGCAGCCGCGGGAAUACGUAGGUGGCAAGCGUUGUCCGGAAUUAUUGGGCGUAAAGGGCUCGCAGGCGGUUUCUUAAGUCUGAUGUGAAAGCCCCCGGCUCAACCGGGGAGGGUUAUUGGAAACUGGGAAACUUGAGUGCAGAAGAGGAGAGUGGAAUUCCACGUGUAGCGGUGAAAUGCGUAGAGAUGUGGAGGAACACCAGUGGCGAAGGCGACUCUCUGGUCUGUAACUGACGCUGAGGAGCGAAAGCGUGGGGAGCGAACAGGAUUAGAUACCCCUGUAGUCCCUGUCUCUUAUAC
RNAcentral lists this ribosomal RNA (301 nucleotides) under uncultured bacterium. Its description in RNAcentral is "partial 16S ribosomal RNA". It matches the Rfam family "Bacterial small subunit ribosomal RNA", at positions 509 to 807 of the family's 1533-position model. The record is from RNAcentral.